This 9409-nucleotide long non-coding RNA is filed under the name Homo sapiens (human). RNAcentral's name for it is "HSALNT0376423". Lineage: Eukaryota; Metazoa; Chordata; Mammalia; Primates; Hominidae. The record is from RNAcentral.
ACAAUGAAAAUGGGUGUUUGACAUCUUCCCAGAAGCGGCACAAAAAGACAGCAAAAUCAGGCUGGUAAAAUGCUGAAUAAACAAAUGAAAGCGUUUGGUCUGAAUGUGAAUGACUCGAAGGGAGAAGGGGCCCGAGGAGACCUCCUCCGGGGAACGAUGGACAUCUCAGAAUUGAAGUUAAGGCUAUAGGUGGGAGGCGGGCGCCACCGUGCACAGGGGUGAGGGAGUUGUCUUAGCAAAAUCUGUCAUGCGGGCCUCUGGGGACUGUCAGGAGAGGAUCUGUGUCACCUGCCGAUUCUACCUCACUUCAGUCCAUGCCAGGUGGCGAGAGCGCAGGUGUGAGAAGAUAGGCCGGCCAAAGAAACCAGGAGGUUGCGGGGAGCCCGAGCCACAGGUGGGGGCCACUGUUAAGGCCAGGGAGGUUCCUCCUACCGCCAGCUUCCUGCGGCGACCCCCCAGUCCAGGUGGACCGGCCAACCACUAGCCACACAGGCUCGAGGCACGGGCCACGCCGUGUGCGGGGAACUGAACCACAGGCGGCUAACGCUAGCGCACAGCCCCAAGUCGACCAAUUGCCAGUGCGUGGGGCACUCACUACGGAGCCCAAGGCUCUGCCACAUUCAGCCACUGUCCUGGGCCCCUGGCCCUCGGUGGCAGCGUUUGUGAGGGUUCUCCAAACCAGCGAGCCCUCUCGAAAGAGUUUUGUUUAAAUAUGAAAGAGACUUAGUCCCAAGACAGUGGACACCGACGCUGCACAUGGAUGUAAUUCCCUCGUCUUCCAUUAAGCUCCAGAGGCCCUGUCGUUCUGCCUACUUCUGAAUUUUCACUUUUAUUCACUGUAAGUCUAAUCUAAAGUGUACCGUAUGCUUUUUUGCAGCCAAAGUUAUUAAUAUUUGCAGUUAGGGUUGUGGAGAAUGUGAAUCAAAAUAAUAAACAAGAAGAGAAAUAUUUUCGUGAAUUUGGGAGUUUGUACUGCUUGGGGUCGUGAACUCUGUUACUGCUACUUGACAAUCCAGAAGGCUCCUUGUGCACACAGGAUUCAGGCUGCUUCCCCAACAGUCCCCAGGGAUGUGUGUGGCUGCGGUCUACACCCAGAGAAGCUGACUGGUCCCAGAUCUCAGGUCAGUAAGUUGCAAGAACCCAGGAAAAAACUAUGAUCAGCCAUGCUUCUGCAAAGGAACAGAUCUCCAGAUUCCCACUUCUAUGGUUAGGAUGCACUCUAAAUUCAAAAUUACCUAACAGAAUGGAGGAUGUGAAAGGUAAAGAUGAACUAAAACACCACUCUUUAGAAUCGGAAUCUUGGGGGAAAUCCCACAACUAGACAUACUUGAACUUGUCCCUUUUUGUUGGUUGGUUUCAAAUGUUUAAAAUCUUCUUGAAGUUUGACUUGAUAGCAAUUUCAGCCUGGUCUGACCUCCAAUACCUGUUGGGUGACAUCGUGUGGCACCGCCUGGCAUUUUUACACAAGGAGAGCCUUCGGAAAUCUAAAGAUUUUAGAAGCAGCAGCUCCUUCUUAAGGCUGGUAGAUAAAUUAGUUGAGACUUUGCCGCAUCGUAGGGGAGCUUAUGACUCUGCCUUAGGCUUGCGGGAGGGAAUGAACAUGCCCGGCAACUUGACCAGGAAGGAAUCCUCCUCCCCCCUCACAGACAGGCAGUGAGUAUCGACCUCUGCGCCAAAUCUGCUCUACUUCCGUGCACCCAGGGAAAAUUUGCAGUCUGCAGGGCUGCUAGGCGGGUACAAGGAUGUUCGCAUACGAACAGGCAAGACCUCAUGUCCCGCGGGGGGUCUGGGGACUCUGCGAGAGCUUUAGCAGUUCUGCAGCACCAGCCUAGACUGGUUCAGAAACUGAUAUGGUUUAGAGCUCUGGUUAUAUGGAGGUAACAUACAACUCCCUCUUGUUCCUACCAACUCCUUCAGCUGCCACACAUCUUCCCAGUUCUCACAUAGGUUCAAUGCCAUCUCUCCCUUUCCACCUGCUGAACUUGGCUGUGACCAUGUGGCCUCAGCUGCUGCGGAUCCCCUGGGCGUGCCAGGGGUAGCAACUCAGUGGGCAGGGGGCCUGUCCGCAGCUCUGGCGGCUCCCCGCAGGCCCCACUCAUGCCGGCGGUUGCAGGUACUGGGUGCUCUUGGCAUUCUCAAGAGCGCAGGAAGAGUCAAUUUUAGGUGUUUUGGGCCACUAAGUAUCCGCGGCAAGCCGAAGACCCCGCUCUGGGAGCAAGAGAAGCCGAAGCUGCAGACAGGGUCAGCGGGAUCCCAGCAGAAGAGGGUGAUGCUGAAGCCUUCCCGGGGCGCGGACCGAGUGCUAGGGCGAGGUAGUCAGCGACCCGCUGAGACCGACCGAGAGACGACGGAUCUGAGGCAGAGAAAGAGGAUGAAGGAAGGAAAAGAGAGAACACUAAGGUCUGGUCAGUCCCGAUGAAUGUAAGGAUGCAGGACCUAGAACAAGAACAAGGGUCAGCUGGAGUCUGCCGCCUGGUUACACUGCUCACUCUGGACUCAGAAGAUCUCAAAGAGAUCGGAAGAAUUUCGACUAAAAGGAGAAAUUUAAGACCAAAACCAAAACACCAGUAAGGCCUGCAGCUGGCUCAGGCCAGGGAGAAGCCAAAAAGCCUUUCCCUAGCCGCGUCGAGGCCUCCUCCGAGGGGCGACUCGCUCUCUGGAUAAAUAUUUACUCAGUGGGAGACUGGAAGCCGGGCCGAGAGUGUGAAGGAGGGGGCUACACUGGGUGGGAGGAACCAGUACACUCGGCGCUGGCCGGAUCCUUGUGUACACCCGCCCAAGGGGAGCAGGGGCCGGGGACUCUGGGGGCGACUCGGCCCAGGCGUGUGGCUGGGGAAGCUUUAGACCCCAGCAUCGGAUCGACCGGACUCCGCCCUGCCCUCGCGGACCCCAGCCAGAUGCUGUGAAGUCUCCAUAAAUCUGUCAGCCGUCCCAGUGCCGCGGGCAGUCACCUGCGGCGCCCCCUUCCCGGCGCUAGAGCGGCCCGCGGAGAGACGCGGAGAAGCAACGGGAAUCUAGCCCGGCAGACUGUACCCGAGGGCUGCCGAAGUCAGACCCAAGCACUACAGGUUGUGCGGAACGCGAGGACCCCUCCCUGUAUCCCCAACCUGGACCGACCCCCGGAAGCCUGCUCCUCCGGGUCUACAGGAGCAGCUCACGCUGGAGCCCCCAAAGAAGCCCCCAUACCUCAGGUGUCUACACUGAAAGUGGACACUCUUCUACCCACCUCCACACUUUAGAAGACAGAAUGCCGCCCAAGGCCGGACCCAGAACCCGCAGCAAAGAGGAUCUGCAACCUUGUCCUCCUCACUGCUGGCCAAGAGUCCACGCCGCGGAGGUCGCAGCUGACUAGGUGAGGGCGGGAGACUGCCUGCUCGUCUCCUCCUGGCCCCGGCUAUCCAGGGCGUCGAGGUGAGGUCCGCAGCCACUCGGGCGGUGCACAACAUGUUCCAGGAGUCCCGCGGCCGAGCGGCGCACAGAGGAGCAAGGAGAGGACCGGAAGAACCGUGCUCUUGGCUGCAAUUUGUUUCCAAGAGUGCCAAGACAUGCCCGAGACUCUCAGCGCGCUCUCAGAGCAUCAACUCAAGCACCGAAAAAAUCUACCUUUGCCUUCCCGGGGAUUCAUUCUGGGGUAUGCCUGUGUGUGUUUCUUUUUAAGACCACUAUAGUGGGAACAAACCAGGAGGUGCCGAGUUGCAAUAAAAUUAGAACCCAUAAUUAACACAGCUAGCUGGGCCCAAGUGGCUCGGAAGUGCACGUAGUGGAGUCAGUUGGCCUUCCUCCGCGGAGUCCGGGCUACAGUUGCGUUUUCUUUCUUUGGAAUGCAUCUUGGAGUCAGGAUCAACUCCUUUCAUUCCCUGCAAACAGCGAAUAAAUAAAUCAUUUCAUUUAUAAAAAACGAUAACGAUAAAGAGAUUUCAGCGCACCCUGCGAGAGGUGGUAGUCAGGAGAAGAGAAAGCCCAAAGGUUGUUAGGUGCAGGGGUCACUUUUACUGCCUUGGGAAAAUGCAUUUUAGCCGCGGAAUUCGUUCCGUGGGGAUUGGGGGUGCGCCUCCGAGGCGGGCCCGAGGGCCAGAACUGCGAAAUCCCAAGUUAGUGUUUUCAGGUUUCGGACAAAAACUGCGAUCCAUACGAGGACCUUACUGUUCGCAUCUUGGCGGGGAUCACGAAAGCUCUACAGGCCAGCAGGAACCUUGCGGCUAGCGGGGGCAUUCCUGCAACCUCCUGCGCAGGGAUCCUACGCCUCAGGUCUUCUUACUGGCUGGGGUUGGCCCUCCCGGGAACUGGGCAGGCUCUAAUAGGCCCCUCUACCUGCAGGCUGUUUGCUCCAAGAGGCGGAUUUGUGGGGUCCAGGGCGAACCCUUUCCUCUUCCCUUUGCCAGUCAGUGCUCCUCCUGCCUAAAAAUUUUACCCUCACCAGGACCAACGAAAGAGCUGACCUCUUACCUCCUCCACAGCGGCUGUGGCUUUCUAGACAAGCUGCGUGUCUGAGCCACUGGGAGAACAGAGUAUAACCACCUCUCCAUGGACACGAUUGGAAGGCAGUUCUAGGAAAAUUGUUAAAGGACCCAACAAUGUUUUCAAUGGACACACAGAGGCUAAGGAAGAGAAAUGUAAAAAUGAAAUAAAUAUAAUUUCAAAAGUGUUUAACUCUUUAAUAAGCCAGGAGGGGUAAAACACAGUACCAUCUUUGCAGAGUAAACCAAUUUUGCCAGCAGGUACAAACUGUUGUGUUUUUUUCUAACGAGAGAGGGGGGGAAAAGGCUGCUUGCAUAUGAUUCACAUUUUUCAUCAAUAAAAUGUUUUUAAAUUAAUAUGAAUUAGCCCAUUUUUUUUGGUGGGGGCGGGAAUCAAGCAAGUGUUGCUGGUUUUCUUCAACAGAUGCACUGUCCUUUGCACAGAGGUAAAAAAUAAUUUGUAAAGUGUUGUUUAUUCAGUGAAGCUACCUACACAUUUUUAAAUCUUAAAGAUGUUUAAGUUCAUAAUGUCAUUGCGUAAUCCAUUUUGGUAGUGCAUUUAAUAAAAAUCAUAUUACUGGCAGGACAUUUAAUAAAAAUCAGACUAAUUAGCAAGGAAGGGCAUAGUAGACAAAAAGGACAAAGAAAUCUCUUGAGCAGAAAAUUUAGAAAAAUAAAGAAGGGUUUUUAGACAAUACUAAUCCUUCGUGUAUUGUUCCAAUUCCUACAGUUCUGUUUACUGCAGUUCUUACGCAUUAAAGUGCUACAGUUUGGGUUCUGUUUCUAUGCCAUAUUCAGACUGUAAAUUUAAUGGCUGCAGGGGGGAGAGGAAGGAUUGCAAAACCAGAGAUUAGCACCAGAAAUGCUGGACCAGUGUCCUAUGCAUGAUGCAGCCAUACCACUGAGGCUACCAUUCUUGUCAGACUCCUAGGGUGGAUAUAGAGGAUUGGGGAAGAAGGCUAGUUCUAUUUCCUGCAGGAUCAAAAUGCCAGCCCAAUACAUUGGCUGACCAGUGAGCCACUCCUUAGAAGGAUAGAAAACCAAGGUCAUGGCCACAGGGGACCUUUGAAAAGCCCCAUAUCACCUUCCUGCAGGACCAGAGGUGUGAAUCUGAUGUUCUGGCAAGCUGACAACACAGAUUCCCUUAGCAGUUUUUAUUGCCUGAGUGAUUCAUAUUCAAUUCCUCUGGGAUUGAGUUCUGCCCUGCCACAUGUUUCCAUUCUUGGAGACACCCCUUUCACUAGGAAAAGAAAUAAUGAUCCCAUUACUCCAUGUAAAAAACCUUCAUAAUGCCAGUUUAAGGCUAAAAAUUAAAUCCCUGAAAGUCAGAACAUAGAAAAGUCAAAAUUCUUUUAGUCUGUCCAAAUCACCCUGCUUCCCAGGCUGUAUAAUGCAUGGUACAUUUACAAGCCUCCCCAGCAAAGCCAACAACCAGUUCCAGCAACCAGGCACUGCUGCUGCUGUGUUUUAAAGGGGAAAUGCUGGAGCACCACCUGACUGGGCAGAUUUUCCAUUUGCAGUUUGAAUGUUUCAUGCCAGUAGAUUUUAGCACUUUCUUGCUAGAUGAAAGUACUAUACUGCAUGCAUUGGCAAAUGGAUUUAAAACUUAAAGAAAGCAAAUUAACUUAUAGGUAACCAAAAGCAAUUCAAAACAAGAGAGAGACACCGUAAAUACCUCGAAGAUUUUCCAGGUACCUAAAACUCUCUAAAUCCAGCUGUAGCAUUCUAGAUCAGUGCUAUACAUUUCUCCAACUCUGAUACAAAAUGAAGUUCUUCAAUGGUAAUUGAUGUAAGUAGGUAUAUUUUCUUCAACCCUUCCCCAAUUUUUAUUUUAGAAUUUAACAUUUAUCCAUCCAGUUUUCCCAAGAGGAAAAAAUACAGUCAGUAGAAAGAUGUGUUAUUUAAAUUGUAUUCUGAAAAUUCAGACAUAGCUCAUAUAAGGAUUAUAACUUCCAGAAAAAGUCUUCCCUACCUCUUCUUUCAAUUUUAAAGUAGCUAAAAGUAUGAGUUUUCUUUUACAACCAGACUUAUCUAUAAUAUUUUGGCUGUGAAACAAAAUUACUUAAGACUUUCUGUUUCUCUUACAUCAAAGCGUAUAUAUAUAUACACACACAUAUACACACACACACAGAAAACAGAGGGUUAACCUGGUAGAGUUGUGUGUAAGUUGAGCCAUGGCUUCUGGCCACAACAUGCACAUGAUCUGUGUGUUUCAUCAUGUAACUGCUAAGGCACAUGAGGGUUUUGGGGGAUAAAGGUAUUAGGUACAUAGGAGACAUCAUUAUUUCUAUUAGAGCAAUUAGUCUCAUGGAGAAAUAUAUACCCUUAGGGCAAAAUAUACAUUGAGUUUUGUAAAAGGAAUGAAUAACAUACACUUGGAUAUCACUACAUAAAAGCUGCACUUUUUUUCCUCUAUAGGAACAUUUUUUGUGUCAAUAAAAAUGAUGAAGGCAAAGCUAGGCAGCCUGGACGUGUCACCAGAACUCAAGGCAUAAUUUGGGAUUUCACAACUCUAUCACCCAGCUGUCCAAAAAAAAUCCCAAACAUAUAUUUUAAAGCCCUCCUGAAGACAUGCUUCUCAUUAUACAGCUAAGCCUCAAUUAACCAGAUAACUCAGGAAAGUAUUUGAAGGAGGACAUGGUGUCUCGUGAACAUUUUCUAAUGUCUUUGAACAAAACAGAAUAUAAGAAAAGGAAGUGUGUGCAUGAUGUACUGUCCCUUAUGAUUUUUUGACAUGAAAAACACUUUAGAAAUCAACUCAGGUCAUUUCCAUGCCUUCCCCAGAAUAUAGUAUAAGAGGGGUAGUUCAGAAAGGUGAAUCCAAAUGGAUGCUUCUUUGAUAACCACAACUUUCUGGUAAAUAUAAUACUUAGGUAGAGCAGAAUGGGGAUCAUUAUAUAUUACUGUGACAACAGUGAAAAUCAAGAUAGAGAGUCUGAAUAGCUGGUUCUUGGGUGAAGAACAGUAUUUUGAGAAGGAAGAUGAAAAGGGGAGAGGGAAUUGUUUUUGUCAAAGAUUAAAGAGAAGACAUUUUUUCUCCCUUACCUUACUCCACUCCCACCACUCCAGGCAUCUAGGGAAACCCAAAUGAAUGCUGGGAUUAAUAGCAGAGGGAUAUAAACAUUGUAAAUUAAAUUCACUGCUAUUUUUGCUACAACAAAUAUUGCCAACAAGUUUGCAUAUAUAUGUGUGUCACAAUACAUUUAAUCAAUUCAUUUAUAAGAAAAAUUUGUCAACUUAUCUCUGAAGAUAACCCACAGUAUGAGAUUUUCAGAAACAUGUCAAGCUCAAAGGACUGAAUUUAGACCCCUUAUUUGCUUCUUAAGUCUGCUAAAGAUAUGUGUUCAGCCUAUGGGCUGCAUUGUAGGUCCAUAGGCCCUUUCUUCCCUGUCCUCCCUGGAAGUCAGUACUGACUUGGGGAAACACAAAGUCUUUAUUUUGAUGCAUAUUAUCACUUGUGUCUGAGAACCUGGCAUUAAGAAACGGUAAUGAAAAUUACUGCAAACUGUACCAGCCAACUAGAGAAAGUUAUGGACACUAGGAGAGUUUGCUUUUUAUAGUACUUUAUCCAAUACUUCUCUCUUCCCUUAGCUUCAUCCCUAUUCCUUUCUCUGAGAUUCUUUCUCUCUUUCUUUUUCUUUCUUUCUUUCUUUUUCUUUCUCUCUUUCUUUUUCUUUCUCUCUCUUUCUUCUCUCUCUCUCACCCCCCUCACACACACACACUCUGCACCCAUACACUCCCUAGAAGAAAGCAGCAUUUUACAUAAGAUUUUGGUUUUUAAAAUGUUGUUUUCUCAUUAAAAUUCCAUGAAAUACUUGAAAGCACACCAGGAAACUAAGCAUAACAUUACCAAGAAGAGUUCCAGCGAGGUCCUAAAGAGUUAGCUUUCUUCAUCUAGAUUCCUAAACCCAUCAUAAAUGCAUAUAUGCCUGGAUCAAUCUUGGAGCUUAUAUUUUAAACAAUCCGUGAAAAAGUAUAUCCAGACUUUUACAUGUUUUGGAGAAAUCACCAUGCAGCUAACACAAAGUCAACCUUUGCCAUCUGUACUUGCUCACAAAUCCCCAAAAGCAGGUAGAUUGGCCUUAGCUACACAGCAUUAAGGAAACACGAGCUUCAGCCAAUCCAAAGUGGAGUUUGGAGCGAUGAGAAGCCACUCAAAGUUAUCAGUGUUCUGUGGCUGUUCUCUGAUCCAUGGUUUAAGUCCACUCAUACAGUUGGACCAGAAAUGAUGAUUUUGACAAACUCCAGUUUAUCUCCUGGAGCUUUCUUGGAACAUCAGUUUGGGUUAUUUUCUGUAGUAUAGUUGUACGUGCCAAUCUCAGGGCAGCUGCCUUUCUUUAAGCUCAUGACUGAGGGUGGCAAGAGGUAGUGAUUAGUCAUCUAACCUCUCAAUAGCUGUAAAUACUAAUUGAAUAUUUUGAACAACUCUUCAGGUCACAUGACAACAUGUGGCCAUUUGCUUCUUAGACUUCUAUUGCAUAGCUCGGGGAGCAAAUAUUCUUUAAUAAUUGUUAAAUAUAUCUUACAAAUCUUCCAAAGAGGAAAAAGUCUCCAUCCAAAAUUAAACACAGGUUAUGUGCUAAAAAUGGGCAGUUGGAACUAAAACAUAGCUGUUAUUAUCUUUUCUACAAUAACAUUUACACACUAUUAACUUUUCUGCAAUAACGGAACAUUAAAGAAUAAAAUGUAAAUUUUACUGCUUUAUUUGCAGGGAUGAAGGUCAGAGUGUCAAAUUGCAGAUUUUGGAUCCUCAAUAAUGGGCCGCUGUAUUUAACCUCUUCAACUUCUUUUCUCCACUUAUAAGAAGGAACAAAAUAAAAUGUUUUGUGGAAGUUUAUAUUGAAAUGAGGUCAGGUAAACUAAUGACUGCUUGGUAUUUUAUGACAAGUUUUAUAACCUUGGAGUUGCCAUAACUUUCAAACGAUCAUCAAUAAAGUUUUAUUGCAAAAGGG